RNAcentral lists this non-coding RNA (24 nucleotides) under Cricetulus griseus (Chinese hamster). Lineage: Eukaryota; Metazoa; Chordata; Mammalia; Rodentia; Cricetidae. The record is from RNAcentral.
UAGAUUUUGGCCUGUCUACGGCAC